CAGCACUUAAAACAACACCCAAGGAACCAGGAAUGAUUUUGGAGGAGCGUGGCCGCAGGUGCCGUCUGUCUCCAACGCCAACAGACAGACAGGGACAUUUGCUGGCUUUUUGGAGAAAUCUUUCUGGAGCAGGUCCUAAUGAGAGGUGAAAUUCCAAACCAUCGAGCUGGAUAUGCUGAAAAGGACGUGGUCCCCCAGCCCAGGGAAAGGAUAACCACACCUCAUCCCAAGCCCUGAGCCCGGGACAGCACAGAAGGCACACCAAGCUUGAUCCAAAUAAUAAAAAUGAAGUGAUUCCAAUUUCCAGCAUGAAGCAAAAGGGAAAAACAAGGUGCCAGGAAUUCCAUGGCAUCAACGUGAAGAUAAAAGCAGAGAUGCAGCAGGAAGAUAAAGAGAUUAGAGUAUCAGAAUGAUUACAAAUCUUGCCCGUAGCAGUGCCUGUUCCCAAGGCUGCCUGCCAUUUCCCAACGAUAAGAUCCAGGUUUUCCAGGCUGGGUAGUGUUUCUUUUUCUCCUGUUUGUGCUGGAAAGCUCCGAGCUAUUUUUCACUUCAGGCUCCGAGAUAUUUGUGCUGAAAGGUUCAGCCAUUUCUACAACGGAGGUUAUAGAAAACAAAAAAGACAAAGCUGUUCUGUUGAGAAAAGAGAGAAGCUGAGAUUGGUUAAGUUUUGCCACACUGGCCAAGAAUGUGUCCUGUGAAACACCUGUGAAAAUCCAAAUUUAGCCAAAUUAUGAGUCUCCAGAAAACUAUUGCUCAUAUAUAAUCAGGGUUCAUGUGUGGUUCCUGAGCAUCUGCUGCUGAGGGAAAUGUGCCCUCAGUCCAGUGCAGGGUACAAAAUGACAGUGAAAUGGAAAACAAGUUUGGGUUGGUUUUUUUUAAAGAAGGUAUAUAAUGCUAUUUUUAGAAACAUUUUUCAAAUUAUCCUAAAAUUAAAGAAGUGCAAGUAACCAAUGCUUUGAUUUGAGCAAUAACCUCACUGACAGCACCUUCCUGAUCAUGUUUGCUCUUUCCAGUACCUGUUUUUAGGUCUGUACUUUUUAUAAGUACCCAUUAGUAGCUAAAAUAUAACUCUGAAUGAGAAGAACCAUGGAGGAAUGAAGAGAUGAAGAAAUGGGAAUUAGAAAUUUGUAUCCUUUGUUUCACAGCAUUGACCUGUCCUUUCACCCAUAACCAUGAAAAAAUGCUUAAUAAUUCAUAUGCCCUUGAUUCAGGACAGAACCAGGGGUAUUCCAAGAAUUCCCUCAGCCUUGUUUCAAGCAGAGUUUGCUUCUCCUUCACAAUUUUUUUGGGGUCAUUCCUGGUGAACUGCCAGGCUCUAACAGAAUUCCCACUAAACUGGGGGCUGUGCUGCUAAAAGGGGUUAUCCCAGAUAUUUUAUGGACAAAGAAGAUGUGCUGAAGUAAGGAAAGUUCCCCAGCCUAGAACUAGGAUGAGGUGGUGAGCCUGUGGAACCACAGCUUCAGGAAGAGGCUCCAGCACCCUUUCCUGCUGCCUGGGAAAGCACAGCCAAAGCUCAGGUGUGUAUAGUGAGAACAGGAUGAACACCCUGACAUGUGCCAGGCAAACUGUUCACAGCCAAACAGGCUCUCUCUCAGGCAAUCAUGGCAUUAUUUAAAGGUCAUGACUUAGAAAUUGCCAGGACUGCAGGACAAGUGGUUAAAAAAUGCCAUCUGCUUUUAUGGUUGUAAUCAUCCCAAACUGCUGGACUACAGCUUUCCUGCACUGGGAUAAAUGCUGUUUGUGAUAUGAUUGUAUCAUUGUGCCAUCCUAGGAUUAUUUUUCCUGUAUCAUGAAUCUCUGCUUUAACACCAUGCUCCCACACUGGUGUUUUUCCAGGAGAAAGAGAUGUGCCCAGACCCCAAAUAACUGACAGAUAAGAAAAUACCAGUAAAUUCCUGACUGGAAUACCAGUAGGCUCCAAAGUUUCUGGCUUUGUCUCCCACUUUCUCCCUCUGGGAUCUGCAGGAGCAGCAAACCAAGACCCUCAGGCCCUUUCAUCAGCUUCCAGCACCCACCCCACCCUUUCCUCUGCCUGCCUUUUCCUCAUGGCAGGGAUGCCUCUGCCUCUCCCUCCCCGUGUUUAACACUUGCUUAAACAUUUCAGCCCUGCAAUGCCGAGAGUUUGAAGCCUCCAAGUUUGUUUUCUCCCUUCCAUCAUCCCUGGGAUAUUUAGGAUAAAAUUCAACGUAAAAUGAGAGACCACAGCAGUGAUUCUGUGCUCACAUCAGGCUGUCGCAGUGCUGAGCUGUGCAGCUGGGCACAAUGCUCACUUUGAAAUCCCACACCACACACGUGAUGGCUUUCAUUAAAUAUAUUAUCUGGUGAUGAUGGUGCUGUGGAAAGAACGCUCUCACAGGCAAACUCACUGCAGAGGGAGGAGACCAAGGCAUUUUUUCCAUUUUCAUUGCUGGCUGUAAUCUGCAGGGGAAUGACUGAUUAAGUGGGUAGAUGUUGCUCUAGGAGAUAAAACUUGGAGUUUCGAGUCUUAAAGGUCCUCGCACUGAUACUUGUGAAAAUGGGUGCUUGUGAGAGUGCAGACCUAAAACCAGGGUUAUACAGAUGCUCUCCCAAUCAGGAAUUAAUGAAAUGUGUUCAAGGAACUGUUAUUUCUGAUGUAUAACACGGUUUGUCAUCUGCACAGAAGAAAACAAGGUUUAGAGGAGCAGUUCCCAGAUGCAUUAAUCAAUUGCUACUCAAAAAAUUCCACCCUAAAUCCAAGAAUGAGAGUUGCUAUCCUUGGUUCAAUCCAGCGUGCAACUUGUAGCUCUCAGGAGUGAGCAAAGAUCAAACUUAUUGGGAAAGCAAGAAUUGCAGCCAAAACUAACACAAAACUGUAACUUCCAGAGGAAAUAUUCAGAGGCAUAAUGAGAGGGAUGGGAAACUAAACAUGGAAAUCAACAUGGGGAAAUGAAGCCCUCAGACUUGGCCUGUAUGCUGAUGACCACAAUCAAAUUAAGGCAAAUUGAAAAGGGGUCAGAUGAGAAAAUAAAAUCAAGCACAUGAACUGGGAGAUGAUACAGAGCAGGAAUUGCAGCAAAGCAAGAAGUAGGAGCCUCAUGCAAACGUUCAUUUUCUCUAUUUUUAUUCUGGAUUUAUACCAAAGGAUUAAAGUUAGUCUUUGCUUUGAGGUUAGAGAUGAGAGCCACAAAGAGUUCCUCAGUUCCUUUCUUGGUGAGGGCCUGGGAGUUGCUCUAUCCCUACGAGGGUUUCUGGAUGUGCAGUUUGCACAUGACCAGUUAGGGAGGAGGAUUGGGCUGGAACUAUGAGGCUUCCAAACUAUUUUAUUAUUCCAAACUGUCUUAUAACUACCUUAUAGCCUUCUGGAGUGUUUAUUGUAUGGCUUGCAGGCCUGAGGAUCAGUGUCAUAAAAGAAGUGCCACUUUUAAGGGGAUUUUCCAAUGGCCAGACCAUUGGAAAUGUGUGGUGCUCCCAACUUGCUGGGAGAGUGCAGGGAUGUGCCAGGGAGUGAAGGAAGCGCAGCAGCCUGGGGAGACAAGAGACCUCUGCAUCCACGUGGAUCCGUACUUACAGUCACAUCCCAGUUUUCAGACUAGAAGUGAAAUAUUUAUCUGCAGACCAACUGGAGAAGAUCUGUCAGUAACAUCCUGAUCCCUACAGGGGGGAUACACCAUUAAUAAGCCACGCUGAGUCAUGCCCUACAGGAAUGGUGCUUUUCUCCGGGGUCACGGCGCGCUGCAGCUAUUCCAGAGCCAUCCCACUUGUUCUGUUUCCCGACUGACCCGGUCAGCAUCUGCCUGUGCUGCUGUCAGAGCGAGUUUACUCCCACCAUGGGGCUGGGAUUUAUAUCUGACAUAUGUUCCUCCUCUUCCCAUCCUCCAGCACUGACACUCCAGCUUUCUUUCCAUGUUUUCUAACAGAAAAAGGAUGUUUUCCAAGCGUGGCCUCGAUUUUGCAAAUCGGACUGGCUGCAUUAUUGAUGCUUUUAGCAGAGCGGAGCCUUCAGCUCUUCAUCCUGCGGGUCCUUUCCCCCUCCAGCCUGCAGCAUGCACACACUCCAAUUUUGGGAUGCCACAAGCCAAGCAAGGGCGAUCCUCCUCUUCUCCAGGGCUUAUUCCAAAGCAAAAUAACAGGAUGAGAAGGAAUGGCCUCAAGUUGCACCAGGGGAGGUUAGAUUAGAUAGCAGGGAAAAUUUCUUCAUGGAUGAGGCUUG
Corvus hawaiiensis (hawaiian crow) is the source of this 4171-nucleotide long non-coding RNA. RefSeq lists it as uncharacterized. The record is from RefSeq and is a predicted model, not a curated record. Lineage: Eukaryota; Metazoa; Chordata; Aves; Passeriformes; Corvidae. The transcript is spliced from 3 exons.